RNAcentral lists this long non-coding RNA (958 nucleotides) under Mus spicilegus (steppe mouse). Its description in RNAcentral is "lncRNA (ENSMSIG00000026162.1)". Lineage: Eukaryota; Metazoa; Chordata; Mammalia; Rodentia; Muridae. The record is from RNAcentral.
GCUGUUGCAGAUUCACAGAGCUUGAUUCAGCAAGCGACGGGGCAGAUAGGCUUGCCUUCCUGGGGCUUGGAACCCUUACUGGAUGGCUUCUUUAAAGAUGGGCAGGAUAAUUGAUCUGUGAAUGGCAGGGAGGUUAGAUGAGAUAAUCCAUUAAAGUGCUUGGUGCUGGCAGCAGUAAAGUGUCCCAAAGCCUUUAUAGUCACCUUCCUGGUGACUCCCAGGCCCUUGGUCCCAGGUACUUUCUUUACUUGUCUACGCACCUCUUGCUUAAUCCACCGAUUACUAAGUCAGGUAGGGCUUUGCCUGUUCAAUGUCUGACUAUCAAGGCCUUGUACAAAGUAGAUAUUCCAUAAAUAGUGAACAUGUGAAUGAAUGAACCAAUGAAUGAAUGAUAUUAGUUCAUGUCUGAGCCUCCAUUUCUUCAUCUGCAAAAUGGGGUUAUUAAUAGCCCCUACCUCACAGGAUUGGUAUGAAGAAUCAAAUGAAGCAAUGCCUGGACAGCUUCCAGCCCAGUGCCUGGCGUGCAGUAGGUGCUCACUAAACCUGAGCUACGGUGGUCCUUUCCAGGCGCUGUCCACACCCCAAGGCCUGGGCUCAGGCCGAAGUUGCUCCACAACACCCCCAGCUGACAGCCAUCAACUGGCAGAGUCCCCAAGCACGGGGGCCCUCUGUUUACCAGAGAUAACCAGUGUGACGGCCCAGGCGGCAGAGCCGAGGGUGAGUACAGCCUGGGGAGCCAGGGUGAGGAGGAGCAGCGUCGUGGUGAAUGGGUCUUCCCAACCUUCUUCAGUUUUGUGUCUAGUGUUAUGUGGAGUGGUCAUCUUGCCCUGCUACCAGGCCUCCCUCGCCAAGAUAUGGGGAUCUUGUCAUCUCUAACCCCAUAGCCUAUAGAAGUGGGUCAGUUGCCCCUGGGUGCUGAGGUUCAGUAUGUACACAUGACAGAAGACCAGAAAGGUUC